Molecule: long non-coding RNA, 1796 nt
Filed under: Homo sapiens (human)
Lineage: Eukaryota; Metazoa; Chordata; Mammalia; Primates; Hominidae
Description: HSALNT0303006
Source: RNAcentral
CCUCCCACCAGCCUGAGGGCGGGACGCUGAGGACCCCAGAGCCCUGCCUCCAGGCUGCUGUCGUAGUGUGACACAGCAACUUCCGAGCAGGAAGGAGAAGCCCGAUCCUAACUGGGGGAAGCUGUUUGCUUAGACAACUUUCUACACUUCAAAUAUUACACCUUAAACAACACACUGGACUAAGAAAUCUGAUCAUGUCCAGGCUUUUAACACCCUCCUCCCCCAAGGAACAAUAAAACACACCAGCGAAAACAAAGAGGCUGCCCUGAAAAGGUUGCAGUGGUGGAUGAUACUGGCAGAAUCAGAAAGGAAGCUAAGAGAAACAGGCGCGUCCUCAGCCGGGCCUCGCGUGUCCUGACACUGCAGCAGGCACGGGAUGUGGGCUGUCCCCUCCAGCACAGUGCGGGAAGGUGCUGGGGCAUCCAAACAGCAAAAGCAAACCUGAGACCCCAAAACAACUGCGUCUGGCCCAGGGGAGUGGGCAAAAAUUCCAACAGGGAGAGACCGUCUCUGGCUUAUUUACAGACAGGAAGAAAGCUAUUAGUGCUCCAUGUAAACAAGCACGCCCAAUUCAAGUUGGAACUCUUUAAAUUCUGGAAGACAGCACAUCACAUCCAGCCACGAGGGGGCGCAGCCGAGCAGCAAGGAGCGCAAAAGUCUCAUUCUUCACUGCAAUUUCUACCUACAGCUCUCUCAAAGUAUACACAUUUUCAAGAUUGUUUCCAAAUUCAGGUAUCCACAGGACACUGCUAAGCAAGCUGGGAGCUUUGCCAAGGCCAAAAUAAAUUAAAUUAUGGUACGGUUCAAACUCUGGAAGUACUGUGUAUAGGAAAGGUUGUUUCUCUGUAUAUAAAAGUUAAUACUGGUAUUUCAAAAACCAUGGUUAAAAUCCCUGGAGGAUUCCUGAAAUGAGAACAAACACACAACAACAAACACACACCCAAGUCAUGAGAUGUGAACGUGGAGAAACCAACAGUUCAGAAUUUCCAGUGGGGCUUGCAACAUGGACUCCCAAUAAAACAAUGAGUCUCAAUAAAUUCGGCACUAAGCUUUUACCAGUAUAGAUAGACGCCUUUACUGGGCCUACUUACUACUUCUUAAUAACUAUAAAUUAUCUCCAUACUGAACAGAUACUGCUUCAGGCAGUUAUUUGGGAAAACCCUUCAUAAAGGACAUUGGAGAGGGGCCAUUUAAUUAUAAAAUGUAACACAGUUAACCUUAGGGAGAUGAUGAAGCGAGAUCAUUAUGUGUAACUACUUGCUGGGAUUCUUUCUAUUUAAAUUAUAAGUUCAGGUUAUAUGAUGUUGUAUGUUCAAUAAUAAUGCUCAUAAUAGAUGAAAUGUUAUAAUGAGUCUCCACAUUUGAAAAUUGGAAACUAUAAACAUAUCUAUAUUUUAUAAUCAUUUGAAUUGUGAUACUACUUCAUAAUAAUUUGGUGUCAGAGUAUGUUUUUAGCAUUUUGAGUCUAAGGCCUCAUUAACAUUAGGGUAAGGAACUCUCAGAUUUGACAAUUUUUCCCAUAAGAUUACGUGCUUUACUAGUAAAGACUAGCCAGCAUUGCCCAACCUCCCAUUCUCGGGCAUAAUGAAAAUAUUUUUUCUCCUGUAUUUAUAAUUGCUUGGAUGGGAUUCUGUUUCAAUCCUCCUGUAGCAUCUUUUCCCUAAAGAUACACUGUUUUUCUCCCUCACACUAGAGACCCUUAAUAAACAAUGUCAAGGAGGUGGGGAACUUAGAGUAGAAAGGAAAGGCUUUGCCAAAAGUAUGUGACAGUUUUUGUGUUUAAAAAAAAAAAAAAA